This 470-nucleotide ribosomal RNA is filed under the name uncultured bacterium. RNAcentral describes it as "bacterial SSU rRNA". It matches the Rfam family "Bacterial small subunit ribosomal RNA", at positions 335 to 799 of the family's 1533-position model. The record is from RNAcentral.
ACUCCUACGGGAGGCAGCAGUGGGGAAUAUUGGACAAUGGGGGAAACCCUGAUCCAGCCAUGCCGCGUGUGUGAAGAAGGCCUUCGGGUUGUAAAGCACUUUCAGUGGGGAGGAAAGGUUGUUGGUUAAUACCUAACAGCUGUGACGUUACCCACAGAAGAAGCACCGGCUAACUCCGUGCCAGCAGCCGCGGUAAUACGGAGGGUGCAAGCGUUAAUCGGAAUUACUGGGCGUAAAGCGUGCGCAGGCGGUCUGUUAAGCGAGAUGUGAAAGCCCCGGGCUCAACCUGGGAACUGCAUUUCGAACUGGCAGACUAGAGUCUUGUAGAGGGGGUAGAAUUCCAGUGUAGCGGUGAAAUGCGUAGAGAUCUGAAGGAAUACCGGUGCGAAGGCGACCACCUGGCCAAUAACUGACACUGAGACGCGAAGGCGUGGGUAGCAAACGGGAUUAGAUACCCUGGUAGGCCGAUG